Bactrocera dorsalis (oriental fruit fly) is the source of this 4349-nucleotide RNA transcript. It is a transcript of the gene named gamma-aminobutyric acid type B receptor subunit 1, with no coding region annotated. The transcript is spliced from 16 exons. The record is from RefSeq and is a predicted model, not a curated record. Lineage: Eukaryota; Metazoa; Arthropoda; Insecta; Diptera; Tephritidae.
AUAAAAUUAAUUAAAAAUUAAAAAAAGUUGAAAAUACUUAAAAAUAUGCAAAUAAAAAAAAUUUAACUAUACUAAAAAUUUUCAAAUGUUGAAAAAAACUUAAACAAAAUAAUAAAAAAUAUUUAAAAAUUUAUUUAAAAAAUUAUAAAAUUAAUUAUAAAAUUAAUUGGGUCAAAAAUUACGUGGUUUUUACUGUUAAAAUGUUGCCAUAAAUUACAUUUCAAUGUAUAAUUCCAAAUCAAGUGUCAGCUUAAAGUUCCUCAAAAUCACUCAUACGCCCUGGUGCACCAACACUUGCUUGCAUAGAUAUAUGCUGUUCCGUAAACACGCUGUGAGCAGACAGUAAAGAGCAACAGCAGCGUAGCAUGUGAGCAUGCUGGGCAGCUAAACAACCCUAUAAGCAAACGCUUCCUUCCAGCAACACACACCCGCAGCAGGCAGGCCAGGGUGUACUGUGGUAUAUACUGUUUAAGUACCAUAUGUAAACAGAGUAUAUUUGAUUGUUGGAGCUAAAGUAAAAAUAUUGUUGUUGUUGUAUUUUUUGUUGCGCAGCAGUGCUGAAAAUAUGAACGGGCACUUUUGAGUUAAAAAAAUUUUUCAAAAUAAAAAUAUUUGAAAAAAAAAUUUAAAAAAAUUAAAUAAAAUAUUAUUAUUAAAAAAUGGAAAUAUUAUUAUUAAAAUAAAAAUAUUAUUAAAAAAAAAAAUUUAAAUCAAAUAAAAAGUUAUCAAGUGUGAAAUGAAGUUGUGAAAAAGUGUAGCAAAAGUGAAGAAAAUAAUAUUUAAGAUAACUAAAAAAACCCAAAAGUCACAAAAAUUGCGCCACAAGCAUUUAUGCUGUAGCUUUUAAAGUAGUCUACAAGUCGGCGCUAAGCCCUAACGGUAAAUCCAUCAGCGCAAUUUGAGGACCAGUAGAGGAAGCAGCAAACUUCCGCCGUCAGCAGCUUGGCGUGACGCAGAAAGAAAACAAAAAAUCCCCAAAAAUAAUAACAAAAACAAAAAAAAAAAAACAACAAAAGAAACCAAAAACAAAAUAAAUAAAUAAAAUAAACAUAACAAUCUUUCAACAUCACUGGCUGCUGCUCCAUUCAACACAUAGAAAAAAAAAAAAUAUAAUAUAAUACUAAAUAACAACAACAUUACCCGCAAGCAUCAAACGGCGUAACAAAAAAGCCAAAGCAGCAACGAAAAAGUUUUUCAACUGUUAAAAAGUUUCAGCAUACGUUCCAACGUUUUACGAAAAGAUAUGACAUGUGAUGGUGUUGUAACAUUUUGGAUAUUUUUACUGCUUUCAUUAAUUUUACACAACGCCGAUUUAACGAACGGCGGCCGACCCGAUGAACUGCAUAUAGGCGGUAUAUUUCCGAUUGCCGGCACCGGAGGAUGGCAGGGCGGACAGGCGUGCAUGCCAGCUGCAAGACUGGCAUUGGAUGAUGUCAAUAAGGAGCCGAAUUUGUUGCCCGGCUUCAAGCUCAUACUGCACAGCAAUGAUAGUGAGUGUGAACCCGGCUUGGGCGCUAGCGUUAUGUACAAUCUACUCUAUAAUAGACCACAAAAAUUAAUGUUACUAGCCGGCUGCAGCACAGUCUGCACCACCGUGGCAGAGGCGGCGAAAAUGUGGAACUUAAUAGUGCUCUGCUAUGGUGCCUCGAGUCCGGCACUCUCGGAUCGCAGUCGCUUUCCAACACUAUUUCGCACACAUCCCUCCGCAACGGUACACAAUCCGACACGUAUAAAAUUAAUGAAAAAAUUCGGUUGGUCACGUGUGGCCAUACUGCAGCAGGCCGAGGAGGUCUUCAUAUCGACCGUUGAAGAUCUCGAAAAUCGUUGCAUGGAAGCGGGCGUCGAAAUCGUCACAAGACAAUCAUUUCUAUCCGAUCCAACAGAUGCGGUACGCAACCUACGCCGACAAGAUGCUCGCAUCAUAGUCGGUCUAUUCUAUGUCGUAGCCGCGCGACGUGUGCUCUGCGAAAUGUACAAACAACAACUGUAUGGACGAGCGCAUGUGUGGUUUUUUAUUGGCUGGUACGAGGACAAUUGGUACGAGGUGAACUUGGAAAAUGAGGGUAUCACUUGCACGAUAGAACAGAUGCGCAUUGCGGCCGAAGGACAUCUGACAACGGAAGCGCUUAUGUGGAAUCAGAACAAUCAAACGACAAUUUCCGGCAUGACAGCUGAGGAAUUUCGGCAACGACUGAAUCAUGCGCUUAUCGAAGAAGGUUACGACAUCAAUCAUGAUCGCUAUCCGGAGGGCUAUCAAGAGGCGCCGCUGGCCUACGAUGCUGUCUGGAGUGUGGCGCUGGCAUUCAAUAAGACAAUGGAACGCCUCAAGCAACGACAGAAAUCCUUACGAGAUUUUACAUACACAGACAAGGAAAUUGCCGAUGAAAUUUAUGCGGCGAUGAAUUCUACACAGUUCCUUGGCAUAUCGGGCGUCGUUGCAUUCAGCUCGCAAGGUGAUCGUAUUGCCUUAACCCAGAUCGAACAAAUGGUGAAUGGAAAAUAUGAAAAAUUGGGUUAUUACGAUACGCAAUUGGAUAAUUUAACGUGGUUAAAUAUGGAGCAGUGGAGUGGUGGAAAAGUACCUCAGGAUCGCACAAUUGUACGUCGCGUCUUACGCACAGUAUCGCUGCCAUUAUUUGUCUGCAUGUGUACAAUUUCAAGUUGUGGUAUAUUAGUAGCCUUAGCACUCAUUGUAUUCAACAUAUGGAAUAAGCAUAGGAGAGUCAUACAAUCAUCACAUCCUGUAUGUAAUACCAUAAUGCUCUUUGGAGUCAUCAUAUGUCUGGCAUCAGUCAUACUCUUGGGUAUGGAUGGGCGAUUUGUCAGUCCACAAGAGUAUCCAAAAAUAUGUCAAGCGCGCGCUUGGCUUCUAACCACCGGUUUUACAUUAGCCUAUGGUGCUAUGUUCAGCAAAGUCUGGCGUGUGCAUCGUUUUACAACAAAAGCAAAAACUGAUCCAAAAAAAAAAGUCGAACCAUGGAAGCUUUACACCAUGGUCUCCGGCCUGUUGUCUGUAGAUUUAGUUAUACUAUUCGCCUGGCAGAUUUUUGAUCCGUUACAGCGUAUACUUGAAACAUUCCCACUCGAAGACCCUGUAUUAACAUCCGAUGAUAUAAAAAUUCGUCCAGAACUGGAACAUUGUGAAAGUCAUCACAAUUCAAUGUGGUUAGGCCUCGUUUACGGCUUCAAGGGCCUAAUACUCGUGUUUGGCCUCUUUCUGGCCUACGAAACGCGUUCGAUUAAGGUGAAGCAAAUCAAUGAUUCCCGCUAUGUAGGCAUGAGCAUUUACAAUGUGGUUGUGCUGUGCUUAAUCACAGCGCCUGUGGGCAUGGUCAUCGCAUCGCAACAGGAUGCCUCAUUUGCAUUUGUUGCAUUGGCUGUGAUAUUUUGUUGUUUCCUAAGUAUGUUGCUGAUAUUUGUGCCAAAGGUCAUUGAAGUGAUACGCCAUCCAAAGGACAAAGCUGAAUCAAAGUACAAUCCCGACUCUGGUAUAUCGAAAGAGGAUGAGGAGCGUUAUCAGAAAUUGGUUACUGAAAACGAGGAACUACAACGACUGAUAUCACAGAAGGAGGAGAAGAUCCGCAUACUCAAGCAACGCCUAGUCGAUUGGGAGGCCACGCAUAAGGGCGGCGAGCUGAACGGCAGCAACGGCACAAACGGCAUUUCCAUGGGCGGCAUUGCCACACAUCAUCAGCCCGUGGCGAGCGUCAAUUCCUUAAGCGGUGGCAUGAGUGCAACGCUAAUGGGUGGUGGUGGUGGCGGCGGCAAUGCCGGCUCCGGCUCGGGUUCCACCAACAAUUCACUCAAUCUACAAGCAACGACGUCCUCCUCACAGCACAACACACCUGCCGCCACAUUAGCGAUAACACAAGGUAAUUGCCAACACAAGUCAAUCGCACAUAGUGCGAGCACUAGCUGUCAAUUUGGUAAAUAUAACAACAACAACAAUAAUAGCAUGAGUAAUAAAAAUCGCAUGUUGCUAAACACAUCAAUGUCGGAAAUGAAUUUCAUAGCUUUCAAUUGCAAAGCUAUCAAGCGCGACUCACUGGUUUGGCUGGCCCACGAUGUCGAUACGACGAACUCGACGCCGUUAAGCAAGCACGAUGAUGCCAUAGGCUUGUGCGCCAGCGGUAAUUACACACAGCUGCGACGCGCAACGCGCAAGAGCCCAACCAUGGCUUUGGAGUCCUGCGAUAAUUACCUUUGAGUGUGGGUCGUGCAGGCAGGUCUAUUGAUAUAGCCGUGGGCGGCACAAGUGGGUGUUUGAGAAUUUUGAUACCCAUGAUCAUCAUACAUGAAAAAACGUGUCAAUUUCCUUCUCGUGAUAGGUAAAAUAUAUGUAAAUUAAA